GUCCAAUAUUGCUGCUUAACCACCAGAGUCUUUGGUUAGGGGAAGCUUCCCUUUGAGAAAAAUGUGAGUAGGCAAGGAAAUAUGACAAACACAUUCAGCACUUUCCCAAGGCCUCAUAAUUAGAUAGAAAUGGAAUUUGAAUCCUGAUGCCUGAGAUUUAAGCAUAGGACACUUCAUUACGCCACAGCUUCCUCUGAGGGGAAGUCAUUGCAGGGAAUGAUCUGGACUCUUAUGAAACACCUUGCUCUCCAGUGCUUGUCUGAGAUCCAGAAAGAGGUCAAGUCCAUUGACACAGCAGCAGAAUUUAGGAGGAUUACUCAUCUCGUUCCUCCCCCAGAGGAAAUGGACAGACUGCACUCAACAGGCACAUGGUACAGGAAACCCACGCGGCUAGAGAGAAACUGUGGAGAAAGCAAGCCUGGAGUUCACGACUCAUCUGUAAUUUUCCCACCAAGGGAUGUCCACAGGAGAGUUGCUGCCCGGCUACCCAUGAGAGGCUACCCGGCCUCAAAGCAAACAGCACUGACACAGAGCCCGACCGCCUGGGCUGAAGCCUCCCCUCACCGCUUCAGAGCUAUCGACCCUAGGCAAGAUUCUGUUAAAUGGAGAUAAAGGUUGCUACAUCAUAGGUUUAUUAUGGGAAUUGAAUUAAAUGAGCUUAUCUCUGUAAAACAUUUCCACCAAGCACACAGUACAUAAGUAUUUAAAUAAAUAGAUUUGCAAAGGCUGCAUUACCAAAAA
RNAcentral lists this long non-coding RNA (741 nucleotides) under Mustela putorius furo (domestic ferret). Its description in RNAcentral is "lncRNA (ENSMPUG00000027983.1)". The record is from RNAcentral. Lineage: Eukaryota; Metazoa; Chordata; Mammalia; Carnivora; Mustelidae.